CAUGUUCAAGAAACUCUUUUUAUGGUCCCCAAGACUUUGACCUUCUUCUUUGUAUGCGUAUAUAUUAAACCUCUUCCAUUUGUUAUCACUCGCCAUUCUAACCCUAAUAUAUAUCAUGAAGAUUUUGAAGUAGAAACAAACAGAAACUCACUUCUUCAUCUAUAUAUUCCUUAACGGAGUUCCAAUUCUGUCAGCUUUUAGUACUAUUCUCAUUGUCUGAAAAUCUCUGUGGGUUUUAUACUAUUCUUGAGAUGGGACAAGUUCUUCUAGUUUUAUUUUUACUUUCAUCCAUUCUUGCCCAUGAAACACAAGGUAGACACUUGAAGAAAGGACAUCUCUCAGCUACUAUUCAUAAAUUACAGGUGAGAAUACAACUUACAUUUUGGAAUUUUAGUUUAAAUAUUUGUUGAAUAUUUAUAAUCAUUUUAUUGAAAAGUUUCAACAUGACCUUUUGUUGAAUAUUUUUACUUUUUGGGUGCUGAUGAGGUUCGAAUCCAAGAUCUCUUGCCUUUGUACGAUCAUCUCACCUAAAAAUUAAGUAAGCGUUUGGAUAUAAAAAUUAUAAUUUUUGAAAAAAAAGUAAUAGCAGGAGUUAAGUUAAUAAAUGACAUUUGAACUUUAAAUUAUGUUUGGACAUGUAUUUUGAUUGAAAAAAUAUUGCAAUUUUGUGAGAGAAAAAAUGCUUUCUGAAAAUUUUGAAAAAGAUGUCGUUUUUGAAAAACUUAUUUUCACUUUUUUAUUCAAAAAUUUGCAAAAUUUCAUGCACAAAUACAUUUAAAAAAAGGUUAUGGACAAGCACAAACCAUAAAAGAGAGUACACUUUAAUUUACGUAAUUAUAUUGUUUUUUAACUAUAUUUCCUUUCAACCAUGCAGGAAAAAGCUUUGAUUGGAAAUAAUAAUGGAGUUUUUGGGGAAGUUAAUACUCUUUGCAAAGAUGGCCAGUGUUCAUCAUCAAGUACCAUGAUAAGAAGACUUUCAAGAGUAGCCAAGAAAUCACACCAUUGGUUACCAAGUAUUCAUGAAGAUUAUUAUGGGCCAAGAAGACAUAGACCUAGACACCAUUAG
This 1066-nucleotide long non-coding RNA is filed under the name Nicotiana benthamiana. RNAcentral's name for it is "long non-coding RNA (NBEN_LNC023125)". The record is from RNAcentral. Lineage: Eukaryota; Viridiplantae; Streptophyta; Magnoliopsida; Solanales; Solanaceae.